RNAcentral lists this small RNA (595 nucleotides) under Pongo abelii (Sumatran orangutan). RNAcentral's name for it is "processed transcript". Lineage: Eukaryota; Metazoa; Chordata; Mammalia; Primates; Hominidae. The record is from RNAcentral.
UGUUUCUCACCUCUGGAGGACUCAGUGUUCAAGGUGCCAUCUUGGAAGCAGAGAGCAGCCCUCACUAGACUACAAACCUGCUGGCACUUUGAUCUUAGACUCCCCGCCCACCAGAACUGGUCUUGCUCUGUUGCUCAAGCUGGAGUGUGGUAGCACCAUCAUGGCUCACUGCAGCCUUGACCUCCCCUGGAUCAAGCGAUCCUCCUACCUCAGCCUCCCAAGCGGCUGGGACCAACAGGUAGUUUGCUGGCCCCGGCUCCAGAUCAUAUUGUGUUAUGGAACUGCCGUGUGGCCAAUGCGGAGGAAAAGCUGAUGGACGACCUUCUGAACAAAACCCGUUACAAUAACCUGAUCCGCCCAGCCACCAGCUCCUCACAGCUCAUCUCCAUCAAGCUGCAGCUCUCCCUGGCCCAGCUUAUCAGCGUGAAUGAGCGAGAGCAGAUCAUGACCACCAAUGUCUGGCUGAAACAGGAAUGGACUGAUUACCGCCUGACCUGGAACAGCUCCCGCUACGAGGGUGUGAACAUCCUGAGGAUCCCUGCAAAGCGCAUCUGGUUGCCUGACAUCGUGCUUUACAACAAGUGAGUGGCAGGGU